This 330-nucleotide ribosomal RNA is filed under the name Triticum aestivum (bread wheat). RNAcentral describes it as "partial small subunit ribosomal RNA". Lineage: Eukaryota; Viridiplantae; Streptophyta; Magnoliopsida; Poales; Poaceae. The record is from RNAcentral.
AUGGCAUCUGCGACCAACACCAAGCCCGGGGAGUUUGAGGAGGGGACAUCAAUGACGGCGGCCGAUCUGUGCCGUUCCAAGUGCGUCGAGUUUGACGACCUCGGGAUGAUUCUCACUGCGACGCGCGGCGGCGAAGCGGUGGCCGAGGUGGUGCUCGAGGAGGACGGCGCCGGCGGAGGGGUGCUCCGCGUGCUGCCCAGCGAGAGCUUCCUCGACGGGGAGCACCGCGUGCACGUGGUGGACGUGCAGGGCGAGCGGGAGGCCUUCGUGCUGGUCGUGGAGGUCCGCGAGCGUGAUGGGAGCAUUGCCAGCGUGCGGAAGAUCUCCUGA